GAUGAACGCUGGCGGCGUGCUUAACACAUGCAAGUCGAACGGGAAACCUUUUAUUGAAGCUUCGGCAGAUUUAGCUGGUUUCUAGUGGCGGACGGGUGAGUAACGCGUGGGUAACCUGCCUUAUACAGGGGGAUAACAGUCAGAAAUGGCUGCUAAUACCGCAUAAGCGCACAGAGCUGCAUGGCUCAGUGUGAAAAACUCCGGUGGUAUAAGAUGGACCCGCGUUGGAUUAGCUGGUUGGUGGGGUAACGGCCCACCAAGGCGACGAUCCAUAGCCGGCCUGAGAGGGUGAACGGACACAUUGGGACUGAGACACGGCCCAGACUCCUACGGGAGGCAGCAGUGGGGAAUAUUGCACAAUGGGGGAAACCCUGAUGCAGCGACGCCGCGUGAAGGAAGAAGUAUCCCGGUAUGUAAACUUCUAUCAGCAGGGAAGAUAAUGACGGUACCUGACCAAGAAGCCCCGGCUAACUACGUG
RNAcentral lists this ribosomal RNA (478 nucleotides) under uncultured bacterium. RNAcentral describes it as "partial 16S ribosomal RNA". It matches the Rfam family "Bacterial small subunit ribosomal RNA", at positions 28 to 507 of the family's 1533-position model. The record is from RNAcentral.